RNAcentral lists this ribosomal RNA (397 nucleotides) under Dermacentor andersoni. Its description in RNAcentral is "partial 16S ribosomal RNA". Lineage: Eukaryota; Metazoa; Arthropoda; Arachnida; Ixodida; Ixodidae. The record is from RNAcentral.
UUUUGACUAUACAAAGGUAUUGUAAUAAGAUUUUAAUUGAAUGCUAAGAGAAUGGAAUUUCAGGGAAAAACUGUUUUAAACUUAAAAAUUAAAUUUAUUUUAAUUUGUGAAGAAACAAUUAUUUAAAUUAAGGACAAGAAGACCCUAAGAAUUUUAAAGAUAAUAAUUUUAAUAUUAAAAUUAUUAUCUUUUGGUUGGGGCAACUAAAAAAGAUUAUAAACUUUUUAUUUAAUAAAAUGAUCCAUUAUUAAUGAUAAUUUGAUAAAAAUACUCUAGGGAUAACAGCGUAAUAAUUUUUGAUAGAACAUAUAGACAAAAUAGUUUGCGACCUCGAUGUUGGAUUAGGAUACUUUUUUAAUGAAGAUGUUAAAAAAAGAAGUUUGUUCAACUUUUAAAG